Molecule: small RNA, 432 nt
Filed under: Atta cephalotes
Lineage: Eukaryota; Metazoa; Arthropoda; Insecta; Hymenoptera; Formicidae
Description: sRNA LOC105622190
Source: RNAcentral
GGGACCUUAGCACUUUAAAAGAAUAUCUGAUGUACAGGAAAAGAAAAUGGAAGGUAAAAGGAAAUAUGGAUCAUAAGUAUAUGAUAAAUGAGAUGAAAUAAAUAGCGAAUAUAUUCAUAGAAAUAUGAUUCUUUUAUUGGAGAACCUUUACAUCUAAGGUACAAAAUGCAAAGUAAUACGCGUUCCUUUUGGACUAGAUACCCAUUCAAGAAAUAGUAUUAAUGGCGUAAGAUUGCAAAUUUGUAUUAGUAGUUGUCGACUCGUGAACAUUGUACGCAAUGCUAUCGCCAGAUAUCUCAUUCGUACGUAUGUACGAGAAACAUCACAUUGAUUUCGUUAAUUUUCGUUUCAUGGAACACGUAAAUAAUAAUUAAGGUACAACGUAAAUAAUAAUCAAGAUCUUGACAAAUAAAACUAUCCUCCAAAAUAAAA